UGGGGAAUUUUGCACAAUGGGGGAAACCCUGAUGCAGCGACGCCGCGUGAAUGAUGAAGGCCUUCGGGUUGUAAAGUUCUGUCCUUGGUGAAGAUAAUGACUGUAACCAGGAAGCAAGCCCUGGCUAAAUACGUGCCAGCAGCCGCGGUAAUACGUAUGGGGCAAGCGUUGUCCGGAAUUAUUGGGCGUAAAGGGUACGUAGGCGGUUUACUAAGUCUGAAUUAAAAGGCAGUGGCUCAACCAUUGUAAGGUUUAGAUACUGGUAAACUUGAGUAGAUGAGGGGAAAGUGGAAUUCCAUGUGUAGCGGUGAAAUGCGUAGAUAUAUGGAGGAACACCUGUGGCGAAGGCGACUUUCUGGAAUCUAACUGACGCUGAGGUACGAAGGCGUGGGGAGCAAACAGGAUUAGAUACCCUGGUAGUCCACGCAGUAAACGAUGAGUGCUAGUUGUCGGGGGUCAAACCUCGGUGACGCAGCUAACGCAUUAAGCACUCCGCCUGGGGAGUACGUACGCAAGUAUG
RNAcentral lists this ribosomal RNA (520 nucleotides) under uncultured bacterium. RNAcentral describes it as "bacterial SSU rRNA". It matches the Rfam family "Bacterial small subunit ribosomal RNA", at positions 355 to 896 of the family's 1533-position model. The record is from RNAcentral.